GAGGUUAAACCUUAGGGCUGAAAGUCUCAGGGGAAGGCAGUGAAAGUCGCGGGGGGAAGGCAAAACUGACGGCACGUUUCCAUCGGAGAGGUUUAGGACGGUAUCUGCACGUAAAAGUCUGCAGAACUUCCACAGGAGGUACCAUAAUACUGACCGGCGCUCAAAAUCUCCCGGCAGAAUUACGAUAUGACGUUUCCUAUAAAGAAACGGCAGACAGAAGGUGAAAAAGCCCCGCUUGGUGCAUUUGUGAUGACAGCGAUAGCGGGGUGUUUGCACAACUGAGAACUGAAGGGUAAAAAUAAAGGAAGCAUGACUGAAGAGCGUGUUAUGACACCGACGGGUAUUUUUUUUGCUUCCCCGCUUGGUGCCACUCCAUGAAAUCAGAAGAUAACUAAAGGUUUCUUAGCACUGAAAUUCCCAAGGAGUGAUGUGUCACCAGCAGCAUCCCAACUCCAGCUUCAGCAUGGGACCAGGGUAACUCUCCAGAGGCAGGGGCAGAGGAGUGCAGCCAUAGUGCUUCCAGUCAUAUGCAAGCUAAAAGCAGCACAUGCACAACAUGAGCAUUCCUUUCACCGAUUGCAUCAGAGUUUGAAGAUCACGGGCUUGACCUAAGAAACGUUGCUGCGCACGAGGACUCUUCAGCUGACAGGCUGUCAGCUACAUUGCUUGCAGGUUGUCAGGCCUCCCGCGUUACAGUAUGUCUGUCCGGCCCCAGCAAGAAAGACCGUCACUUUUUCAGAGACAAAGAUAAGCUACAAAACUCAUUGUAAACCAAUUUCUUCUGC
Molecule: long non-coding RNA, 785 nt
Organism: Cygnus atratus (black swan)
Lineage: Eukaryota; Metazoa; Chordata; Aves; Anseriformes; Anatidae
Exons: 3
Source: RefSeq, a predicted model, not a curated record